GACCUCAGAUCAGGCAAGGCUACC
RNAcentral lists this ribosomal RNA (24 nucleotides) under Goniastrea stelligera. RNAcentral's name for it is "partial 28S ribosomal RNA". The record is from RNAcentral. Lineage: Eukaryota; Metazoa; Cnidaria; Anthozoa; Scleractinia; Merulinidae. RNAcentral also lists the same sequence under 1 other name.